Non-coding RNA from Oncorhynchus mykiss (rainbow trout), 490 nucleotides. Lineage: Eukaryota; Metazoa; Chordata; Actinopteri; Salmoniformes; Salmonidae. The record is from RefSeq and is a predicted model, not a curated record.
AGACAGGUAAAACCCUGUGGUUACUACUCAGACAGGUAAAACCCUGUGGUUACUACUCAGACAGGUAAAACCCUGUGGUUACUACUCAGACAGGUAAAACCCUGUGGUUACUACUCAGACAGGUAAAACCCUGUGGUUACUGCUCAGACAGGUAAAACCCUGUGGUUACUGCUCAGACAGGUAAAACCCUGUGGUUACUACUCAGACAGGUAAAACCCUGUGGUUACUGCUCAGACAGGUAAAACCCUGUGGUUACUGCUUGGCUGUGUUGAGGAAGUUAAUCAGUAAAGGACUACUCAGACAGGUAAAACCCUGUGGUUACCACUCAGACAGGUAAAACCCUGCGGUUACUACUCAGACAGGUAAAACCCUGUGGUUACUACUCAGACAGGUUAAACCCUGUGGUUACUACUCAGACAGGUAAAACCCUGUGGUUACUACUCAGACAGGUAAAACCCUGUGGUUACUACUCAGACAGGUAAAACCCUGU